AUGAUCUGCUCUUUUUUAAUCCCACAGGUUAAACUAAAAAAGCCCCUCACUCCAACCCUUCAGAGGACUGGAGAAACUCCCAUAGCUCAAGAUGCAGAAACAGGGAGAAGUCACAACAGAGUGAGUGCUUUGUGCGUGAAGACAUGGAGGACACCUGAUCGAGACUCUCCUGAUGUCAGAGAGGUGCCAGAUAAACCGAGCUUUCAUGCUGAGCAAGGGGGCAGACGUGUCGGCUGGCAAUCGCUCAGGACGAGCUGGAAGGCCAGCAGGGUGGCAGCUUUCCCUGGAGGCUGUAAAUCCAGUGAGCUUUCCACAGGGACCAUCGUGGACUCUGGCAAGAAGUGUCCUCUGACAAAAACAACAAGCCCAGAGCCCCUGAAGCAUUAUCACACAACUUCUGCUGAUCCCAGUGGUCAGCUACAGAUGUCGCCCAAGUCACAAAGCCCUGUGCAAAGAGCAAGCAGUGUUCAGCCCAUCAAAGCAACAGCCUUUUAUGGGAUAAGUGCUAGCUCAGGUGCUCCACACACACUGGAUAAUCCAUCUGUGACCACGCGUGUACCUCAAAGCAAAACACCCUUCUCCUCUAUCACCAUCUCCUCCAAAAAAGUGAGCAGAUCAGCCAGUUUUUCUGGCUCUAACUCAUCCAGCACGCCUUCUACUCCUGGCUUGGAUCACCAGCCCAUGGAUCCAAACUCCAGACAGAUGAGAGUGCAAAGAAAGGCUACUAUCAUCAAAGUGACAGACAAAAAAGUGACAUCCACCCUCAGUCCAAGCACAAGUCGGCCCGGGACCCCACCAGCUUGCUGUGGUUUAGACAUGGUGGUUCGUAGAAGAAAAGCCACCAUCAUUAAAGUGACAGAACAUAAGGAAAGCUACAGUCCAGCCAAGACCCCAAUCAGGAAUCCAGAGUUCAGGCACAGCUACACCGAGGGGCUGCAUAAGAGUCAGGAAAAUGGUUCAGACAACGCAGCACCACGGUACCACUGUCUGGAUCCUGGGCCAAACUCAUCCACCACCUCAAACACUUCUCCAUCCAGUCCAAAGAAACAUAGUACCCUGCACAGAUCCACUUUUAACUUUUUUGUGAGCAGUCGUCCUGCCACAACACCAGCUCCCUCUGAGGUUUCAUCAAAGGCGGUUGGACAGAGAUCGGACAGGCCGAAAAGACCACUAAGCUGCUACGGUGAUUUGACUGGACACACUGAGCCGAGCGAAGAGAUCGGCGAACAAUCAGCUGCCAGCAAAUGGAGCUUCGGGCCCCCACAAGGGAACCGCAUCAACCCUGUGAGCUUGGACAGAGGUUUCAUCAGCCCUGGAAAAGAAGUGAAAGAAGCAGGUCAGCCAGUAGAACACGCCCUCAGCCCUCCAACAGAGGAAGAGGAGGGAAUGCCUCCAGCGGUGGAGGGAAAGAGGAGAGCAUCCCCCAGUCUGACGCUCAUCACGGCCCCCGGUAAGUUCCUCUGCCCCACUUUGACAGUCUUCUUGUCAACAAAGAGGUGCCAUCUGUCUCUGAUCUCUGUUUUCAAAGGAUUAGAACAUCUAAAUAUACUUUACUUUGUGCCUUUGAGCUGGAAGUUUUUUCCUUCUUUAUAG
This is a long non-coding RNA of Nothobranchius furzeri (turquoise killifish), 1593 nucleotides long. The record is from Ensembl. NCBI's taxonomy places the organism in Eukaryota, Metazoa, Chordata, Actinopteri, Cyprinodontiformes, Nothobranchiidae.